Molecule: ribosomal RNA, 256 nt
Filed under: uncultured Pseudomonas sp.
Lineage: Bacteria; Pseudomonadati; Pseudomonadota; Gammaproteobacteria; Pseudomonadales; Pseudomonadaceae
Description: partial 16S ribosomal RNA
Rfam family: Bacterial small subunit ribosomal RNA
Source: RNAcentral
CGGCGGACGGGUGAGUAAUGCCUAGGAAUCUGCCUGGUAGUGGGGGACAACGUUUCGAAAGGAACGCUAAUACCGCAUACGUCCUACGGGAGAAAGCAGGGGACCUUCGGGCCUUGCGCUAUCAGAUGAGCCUAGGUCGGAUUAGCUAGUUGGUGAGGUAAUGGCUCACCAAGGCGACGAUUCGUAACUGGUCUGAGAGGAUGAUCAGUCACACUGGAACUGAGACACGGUCCAGACUCCUACGGGAGGCAGCAGC